RNAcentral lists this transfer RNA (74 nucleotides) under Candidatus Bathyarchaeota archaeon. RNAcentral's name for it is "tRNA-Thr". It matches the Rfam family "tRNA". Rfam says of the family: Transfer RNA (tRNA) molecules are approximately 80 nucleotides in length. Lineage: Archaea; Thermoproteati; Candidatus Bathyarchaeota. The record is from RNAcentral.
GCCCCGAUAGCUCAGCCGGUUAGAGCGAUAGCCUUGUAAGCUGUAGGUCGCGGGUUCGAAUCCCGCCCGGGGCU